AUUUGUUGAUCUUUCAGGUCUCUUCCACUGAGUUUAUGGUUCCAUGAAUCAUUCCUCGGACACAGGCCAAGUCAGUGAUGAAGUGGUCUGGGGAGUCGUGGGGUCAGAGUUGAAAUGGAGAUGUAGUGAGGGGUGAGAACCGGGGUUCCGAGGGAGGAGAUGCUAAAUGACAGCACAGUGUCAGGAAAUAAGUUUUUUCCCUUGCAAAACUUGGUAAUCAGACGGGAUAUCGGAGAAGUGCACUGGUAGAGAGAAGCAUUAGCCAGUUAGAGAAUGGCAGGGGGGUGGUGGCCUGGUCAAGGGGGAGGACAAGUCCAGGGGUGUUGUGGAUGAAGAAGAUGGCUGCAAUCUCACCCUCCAUUGCUCCCAAAGGAAGGACAAUGCCAUUGUCUUCUGAGUUCAUCUGCAAACACAAAAAAGAACAACUACUGCCUUGGAUACUACAUUGUAAUGUAAAACCUGCGCGAUUUUCUGAGUGGAAACAAAGGAAGGGAAAGAAGAUUAAUGAAGACCUGAGCUACAGUUCCAAAACUCUUUCCAUUCUGCCUGUCAAGGAAAAGCCAGCCCUUCAGUCUCUUCUCUUCAGUGCCCUCGGCUAUCAAAACCAAAGACAUUGA
This 617-nucleotide long non-coding RNA is filed under the name Cavia porcellus (domestic guinea pig). RNAcentral describes it as "lncRNA (ENSCPOG00000034142.1)". The record is from RNAcentral. Lineage: Eukaryota; Metazoa; Chordata; Mammalia; Rodentia; Caviidae.